Molecule: unclassified non-coding RNA, 482 nt
Filed under: Orbicella faveolata
Lineage: Eukaryota; Metazoa; Cnidaria; Anthozoa; Scleractinia; Merulinidae
Description: uncharacterized LOC110044688, transcript variant X1
Source: RNAcentral
AAUAGGGGAUUCAAAGUAAUGCAGAUCAACCCGGCGGCCAACAGGGCCUUCUUCAGAGCUCAAAAUAAUUAACAUAUCUCUUGACUGGGGAAAGUUUUUUGGACCCAGUUAUUGACGAGAUAUGUCUGUUUACUAAGACCUAUUUUAGUCCUUUUACGAGAUUGUACUAAGUAACACCUUUUGUCCUCUUUUAGUCGUCUGUGAAGACAUCCCUCCCCGACGUUUUAAGUCAACACGUGUUUAUGGAUACUUCCGGGACAUUUGGUCAAGCUCUGAUGGACCUGGGUACAACACACUCGAUUUUACUCAGUGAUGACGCCAUAGAGUCACUUGUCACCGCUGACAACAGAAGAGUUCACCCGGUCGCGCAUUCUCCGGGCAGCAAGCUGCUGUGGCGAAUUUUAGAGACUGAAGGCUCAUGCAGUAUUGACAAAGUUACUUCGGAUAGUUUGCAGAGGGCUGUGCGACAAAUACGACAGUGC